Molecule: long non-coding RNA, 3559 nt
Organism: Panicum virgatum (switchgrass)
Lineage: Eukaryota; Viridiplantae; Streptophyta; Magnoliopsida; Poales; Poaceae
Exons: 2
Source: RefSeq, a predicted model, not a curated record
CCCCCAUGUCCGGUAUGGCAUCCACUUCACCGAUGUCGUACAAUUGGUCUUCAAUGGGGACAUUGUCUUCGGCAGGUCCAGCAGACUCACCAUGGUGGAUCCAAGUGGUAUAAUUUUGAACAAAACCCCUUCUUGUCAAAUGUUCCCUGAUGUCCUCAACAUUCUGGAACAUUUUGAUAUUUUUGCAAUCGGUGCAUGGACAAUGUAUUCCGGGUGCUUUAUUCAUUGAAGCAUGAUUUUUUGCCCUGUCUAUAAAAUUAGACAGUUGCCGAAAGAAUGUUGCAUCAUGUCGUCGGGUGUUGUACAUCCAUUCUCUGUCCAUCUGCCAUUACAAUUAGCAUACGAAAAUAAUUAAAAAUGGACAUGCUUUAAAAGUACGAGCUAAAAAUCAUCACUUAAUGAUAAUUAUGUAAAUAAUUAUUUAACAUUUAUGAGGUGAUGGUAACCAAAAUGAAUUAUUAAUGUGGCCUAAAUUUGAAAAUAAUGGUACCUUAAAAACAAUUAUGUAAAUAAUUAUUUAACAGUUAUGUGCAAAUGGUAACUCAAAUGAAUUAUUCAAUUCUAUAUUAGUAAUGUGUCCUAAAUUUGAAAAUAAUUGUACCUUAAAGGCAAUUAUGUAAUUAAUUAUUUAACAUUUAUGUAAAUAAUCCUCAAAUAUGACAAAUAAACCUAGAUCUAGGGUUCCAUUAGUUCUCAUCCUUAUUAAAUUGAAAAUUGACAAGGACACAUGAAAAUGAUGGAAUGAAAUGGUUAUAUGUCUCUAUUCCACCAUCUUUAACAUUGAUUGCCUCUACAUUAGUGCAAUUAAGGUGCAUUAAUUGUGGAUCUAGGCCUAGGGAGAUGUGGCACCUUAGAUUUGAAAUUAAGGAACAUUUGAUCACCAAAAUCAUAGGAAAAACAUAGCUAAAGCAUGUACAUACCUUGGCAAACCAAAUGCCUUGAGGAAUUUGAAAACAAAACCUCCCCCCCCCUAAUUUGCAUGAAAAUGGCGGCGCCACCGAGCUGCUCUGUUCAGAUAGCUCGGGCUGUUAGAACAGAGCAGCUUGGGGGCACUGUGCUGCCAGCGUUAUAUAGGAGCCCCUGUGCAGGGGUGGGAUGUAUUACGGACCGCCCCUGUAAACAAUCUACACGGGCGGUCCGUAGUACAGCCCACCCCUGAUCUUUGGACUACACGGGCGGUCUUUCCUGAUGACCGCCUGUGUAGAUCGUUUACAGGGGCGGUCAUAGCGGUUGCCCGCCCCUGUAGAGGGGCGCCCUAUAUACCAAGCGCUGUGGCUAAAAUUUCGCUAAGUCCCGGCGCGAACCCUACAGAGACACCGCCAGGCUACCAAAAUUUUGCCCUGGCGCUACAGUCCCGCCGCCGCCGCCACUUUGUUCCGAGCAGCCCCCGUCCUCUUCCGUUGCUCCUCGUCCUCCGCCGCUGCUCCCCUCCAACGACCCUUCCUCCGCCACUCCUCAUCCUCCGCCACUGGCCGUCCUCUCUGACCAUCCCUCCUAUGCUGCACUCGUCGUCCUCCUCCUCCGCUGCUCCCCUCCGACCACCCCUCCUCCGCCACUCCUAAUCCUCCUCAGCCGCCGCGUCGUGUUCGUGGCCCUCCUCCUCAUCCUCCGCUGCGGCCUUCUCGACGAGGUCGUCCUUGAUGCGGCAAGCUCAUCGCAGUGGUCCUCGCCCGUCUCCACUGCACACUCCUCCUCGUCGCCCUCCUCCACCGCGCGCUCCUCCUCUUCCUCCACCGCCGGUCCUCGUCCUCUCCGGCACCGACCCCUCCUCUACUGCUCCUCCUCAACCUCUCCUCCUCCACUAUUGGUAAGUGUUCUUCCUUUGAAUGAAUGGAUGGAUGGAUGGAUUAUUGGAUGAAUGAUGAAGGCUGUACAGAUUUUCCAACUAUGAAUUGAAUGAUGCCUUGCCUUGCUGCCAUAUAUGUAUCAAUUCAAUAUAAGCUAAAAUUUGAUGAAAUUUGAUCAAUUUUCAUGCCAUAUAUGUUUCAAUUCAAUUCUUGAUGAUAUUUGAUAAAUUUUCAUGCCAUAUAUGCUGCCAUGUAUGUUUGAAUUCAAUAUAUGCUGAAAUUUGAUAAAUUUUCAUGCCAUAUAUGCUGCCAUAUAUGUUUGAAUUCAAUAUAUGCUGAAUUUGAUAAAUUUUUAUGCCAUAUAUGCUCCUAUUCUUGCUUAAUUUAUUUGAAAAUGAUGAAGAUAUGCUGCCUUGCCUGCCUUGCAUUCUUGCUUGCUGCCUGGGUUGCGGCCUUGCUUGCUGCCUUGCGUGCUGCCUGCCUUGCUGCCUGCCUUGCUUGAUGCCCGCCUUGCUGCCUGCCUUGCUUGUUGCCUGCCUUGCUGCCUUCCUUACUGCCUGCCUUUCCUAUGACUUGCUAUUUUUUUCUAGUGUAUUCUUGCAACUCUUUUCUCUCUCUUUUGGCAAUGAUGAUUAUUACAUGAGCCCAUAAUGAAUUCAUAUUCUUGAUGAUGACUAUUUCUGUCAAUGGGAAUGUUGCCUUCCAACCUGGGGGCCAUGAUGUUGAACCUCUUCUAUGAAAUGGAUGCCAUAUGAGCUGAGCCUCUCCUCUUGCUCGAUGAUGAUUAUUUCCAAAAUAAGGCCAGACUUGCUAUUAUGAAUUUCUGCAUCUCGUUUCAUGUUGCCUUGCUUGCUGCCUUGCCUUGCCUUGCUUGGUGUCUUGUCUUGGUUGCUGCCUUGCGUUGCCUUGCUUGCUGCCUUGCUGUCUUCCUACGGUAAUUUCAUACUUUUUGAAUUGGAUGACAAGUUGGUUCGGCCUAUGAGAUGUGCUUUGGACUUAGUUAGGGGGCAGGACUCUUGCAUGUCCUGGGGCCAACUAAGAUAUAAUCUGAGAGCAACCUUUUGGCAAAUGAUGAUAUGGGAAAUAUAAAUCUAUUUUAAUCUCCCCAUUCUGAUGCCUUCUCACUUCGUAUUUGUUGAUAUUCCCUUAAUUGUUCCUUUUUCCAAUAUCUUGUCUUGCAUUUAUAUUACUGAAGUAUAUCUAAAUUAAAAAAGAAAGCUUGUCAGUGCUUUGCGAUGGAAGAUUCGGGAGUGCCUGCUUGGGACCCAUCACAGCCUCUGGAGCCACUCCCGUCGGGAGAUGACGGCUCUUCAUCGGAGCGGACCUCUUAUGAAGAGGAGGUCAGUGAUGUUGAGCCAUGUCCCAGGAGGCAACGGCGUACAGAAGAAGAAGACCCCAAUUUCGAACCGGUGCAGGAGAACCCCAGCCUUGGACGUCGAUCACGGCGUGCACCUCAAAGAGAGGUGGAAGACACGGCUGUGUCUGCACCACCGCCGAGCGUGUCGGCUCCAUCAAGGGAGAAAAAGCCGAGGGGCAAGAACGGUCGAAACAAGAUGCCCGAAGGCCAGUUCAUAGUGGAGACGAUGAACGCAAAAGGGGAGAUCACGUCGCCGAAGGAGACCAUCAAAAAAUUCCGCACAGCGUGCGGAUAUCUCGUACGGGAGCACGUGCCAAUCACAUUCAAGGAAUGGUCUUGGCCGUGUUUGGUUACCGGUCACAUAAACCUUGUAAUUUUUUACACAAAAAGACGAAUGCAUGCAUGGAGUACUAAA